Molecule: non-coding RNA, 29 nt
Filed under: Mus musculus (house mouse)
Lineage: Eukaryota; Metazoa; Chordata; Mammalia; Rodentia; Muridae
Source: RNAcentral
UAUUACACUCUGUCAUUCAUUCAAGGAGC